Non-coding RNA from Paramuricea clavata, 545 nucleotides. Lineage: Eukaryota; Metazoa; Cnidaria; Anthozoa; Malacalcyonacea; Plexauridae. The record is from the annotation of a GenBank genome assembly.
GUCACGUUGUCGAAUCGCGUUCGGUCUGUGUGGGCCUUUAUAAAUGUAUAUAAAAUGUACACUUGAUAAUGUCCAUCUACAAUUGAACUUUCAUGCAACUAAUAAGCGAUAACUGGUUAAAAUUUUGAUUUUUAAAAUUUUCCUAUAUUGUUAUAGUUGCUAUUAUGAGUUAUUAUGCGCCCGCCAGCUUGUCCCAGAUUUCUGGUAGAAUGAGAUUCAUAAUCGAAAUUCCAUCUAUAAAACCAAAAGAAUCCGGAUAAUUUUGGAAGAUUUUAAAACUUUCUCUAUAUAUUUAUCUUAUUAUAACAAAUGUUUAUUUUUGUGCAAUAUUUUUUAGGACCAACAGUUACAACCCAGCUACCAAAAUCUUGGCAGAAACUUGUGAAAUAGAUAUCUAUAAUAUUUACAGGUAUGUGUCAAGUGCAUUAUUUAUAGUUAACCGUAUAAUGUUAAUAUAUUUUGCGUUCACUCGGGACGCACGGACGAAUUCUAGCACAGCUAAGAGAACGGUCAAUAUUUAUGACGGGGGGGGGGGGGGGGGGGGG